AAAAGUUCAAGUGUGGGGGAAUUUGAUCAGUGCAUUUUAAUGCAUAUUCUUCUACUAUUGUACUAGUGUAUUCCUAUGGUUUAAUUUACUAUUUUCACUAUUUUAAGGUGUUUUUAUAUUUAAUUUUAUUUCUAACUCUAUUUUAUUUUCGCACUUAAUUUAUGAAUAAAUAGCACUUUGACACCCUUCCGGUCCGCAGGUCAUAAAUGGAGUUACAAAUAUCGGAUUGAGGCGCGGGAAGAUGCGUUGGAAAGCUGAGAUCAAGAGCUGCGACUUUCAUGUUGAGGCCAAAACCCAGUUCGGAGCGCAAGUGUGUCAAAUAAUUGCGUUUAUGUUCCAGACGAAUUUAAUUCAGCACAACUUUAUAUUUUCCGGCCCAAUUGUUUUAAGGCCCGUUCCAUGUAUUAUUUAAACCGAAAAAAAGGCAGCUAGGGUUAUUCAUUCACUGUUCACGGAAUAUUCAAACCCUAGAGCAGCCGUCAUCUUCCAUGGAGAACUAAACUUCUAUUGAUCCAUUGGUGUAAGGAACUUUGUUCUCGAAUCUUGAGGUUCGGUUUUAAUAGCAAAUCGUUAUGUUUAUGCUUAUCAUAUAUCAAUUUUCUUGUCUCUCUUUUGUGUAUGAGUUGAUGCAAUUGAUGCUUAAUUAUUUUGUUUCACGUUCAUAACAUUGAGAUUAUUCAAAUUAAUUCACGCUUGUUCAAAUUAAUCUGAAUAGGAAAUUGUUAUAUUAUUUUCGCUUGCAAAAUAGGGCUGCCGAAUUAUUGUUAUGAUUUUUAACUGUGUU
Molecule: long non-coding RNA, 784 nt
Filed under: Trifolium pratense (red clover)
Lineage: Eukaryota; Viridiplantae; Streptophyta; Magnoliopsida; Fabales; Fabaceae
Description: long non-coding RNA (TPRA_LNC005158)
Source: RNAcentral